Molecule: ribosomal RNA, 404 nt
Filed under: uncultured bacterium
Lineage: Bacteria
Description: partial 16S ribosomal RNA
Rfam family: Bacterial small subunit ribosomal RNA
Source: RNAcentral
GACGAACGCUGGCGGCGUGCUUAACACAUGCAAGUCGAGCGGAGCGGCGAACGGGUGAGGAACGCGUGAGUAACUGCCCCCCUCUCUGGGAUAACAGUUGGAAACGGCUGCUAAUACCGGAUAGUGGGGGAUGACUCGCGUCCUAUCAGCUUGUGGGUGGGGUAGUGGCCUACCAAGGCGACGACGGGUAGCCGGCCUGAGAGGGCGACCGGCCACAUGGGGCUUAGAUAGGGCCCAAAGUCCUACGGGAGGCAGCAGUGGGGAAGAUUGCACAAUGGGGGAAACCCUGAUGCAGCAACGCGCGGGCGGGAUGACGGUCUUCGGGGAGUAAACCGCUUUCAGCCAUGACGCGGUAGUGGCAGAAGAAGCACCGGCUAAGUACGUGCCAGCAGCCGCGGUAAUUC